AUGGUUCAGUCCGUCAAUCAUCAGACCCUGGAAACUGCACAACAAUUUGUUGCGGUAGUUGUAAUGGGGUAAACGGUAAUCACUUGGAAGGAAGAUGUUGCAGUUCAGUAGACACUCAUAUAGUUGGUAGAUGUGGAACUCAACAAAACUCAGGUUUUAAAUGGGAUUUAGAUUAUUAUGGAAGCUUGAAUUAUUGUAUGCAGAAAAAAAACAGUUUACUACCAUCCUCCAAUUAUUGUCAAAUAAUAGAUGGCAACGAUGUUUAUCACGGACAAAUUUCCUGGACAAACGUGUUCCGUGAGGAGGUUGAAAUUAUUAGAACACAAGACGUCAGUCAAGAUCCAGACCGAUGUAUUUUUGGAGUAUUUACCCUCGUGCAAGGACAAACAACAUUAAACAUGACAGAACACAAGUGCAACGAAAAUAAAAAUUGGUAUAUAUGCAAAACAA
Mytilus californianus (California mussel) is the source of this 450-nucleotide long non-coding RNA. RefSeq lists it as uncharacterized. The transcript has 3 exons. NCBI's taxonomy places the organism in Eukaryota, Metazoa, Mollusca, Bivalvia, Mytilida, Mytilidae. The record is from RefSeq and is a predicted model, not a curated record.